RNAcentral lists this ribosomal RNA (813 nucleotides) under uncultured organism. RNAcentral describes it as "bacterial SSU rRNA". It matches the Rfam family "Bacterial small subunit ribosomal RNA", at positions 36 to 875 of the family's 1533-position model. The record is from RNAcentral.
CUAGCGGCGCGCUUAUGCAUGCAAGUCGAGCGAUGAGACUCCUACGGGAGCACAUCAGCGGCAGACGGGUGAGUAACGCGUAGAUGACGUACCCUCAAGACGGGGAUAACGGAUGGAAACAUGCGCUAAUACCGGAUGACCUUACGAUGUCAGAAUGGUAAGGAAAGCUACGGCGCUUGAGGAGCGGUCUGCGGCCCAUCAGCUAGUUGGUAGGGUAAAGGCCUACCAAGGCGAAGACGGGUAGGGGGUGUGAGAGCACGGCCCCCCACAAUGGGACUGAGACACGGCCCAUACUCCUACGGGAGGCAGCAGCAGGGAAUAUUGCACAAUGGACGGAAGUCUGAUGCAGCGACGCCGCGUGAGUGAAGAAGGCCUUCGGGUUGUAAAACUCUUUUGAGGGGGAAGAGCGAGGACGGUACCCCUGGAAUAAGCGUCGGCUAACUACGUGCCAGCAGCCGCGGUAAGACGUAGGACGCGAGCGUUAUCCGGAUUUACUGGGCGUAAAGCGUCUGUAGGCGGAUGUGUAAGUUGGGCGUGAAAGCUCCGGGCUUAACCCGGAGAGGCCGUUCAAUACUGCAUAACUUGAGGGUGUCAGAGGGGAGCGGAAUUCCCGGUGUAGCGGUAAAAUGCGCAGAGAUCGGGAGGAACACCAGUGGCGGAGGCGGUUCCCUGGGGCACACCUGACGCUGAGAGACGAAAGCUAGGGGAGCGAACAGGAUUAGAGACCCUGGUAGUCCUAGCCCUAAACGAUGAAUGCUAGGUGUGGGAUCGAAUGGUUCCGUGCCGGAGCGAACGCGAUAAGCAUUCCGCCUG